AGAUGCACAAUGAGGGACGUCUGCAGCGACUGAGAAAGAGUCUCACCACAUCCUGACAUGAGGAAAAAGACUUUAUUGAAGACUACAAUGAGAAAAACUAUCAGACAGCAGACGGCUGCAUUCAAGUCUGUAGCUGCUGAAUUCAUGGAUGAAUCAUCUGGCACUAGAGAGGAAGACCAUCAAACAUCCACGUCAGCUGAUGGAGGUCCAAGAGUCUCACCAAACAACCAACCUACAGAGUGAAGACCUCGAAUCUGAUUGGACGGCCUCCUAUUCAGCCACAUUUUAGGCUGUUAGAUUGUUCCAGAUAAGACAAGUACAAGAUUCUUCAGAGCCGUUCUACCACGAGCCUGACAGGAAGAACUCCAACAGCUACUGAAUGUUCCUGUGGUCCCCUCAAGGCUACAGGAGGAGCCCUAUGAGGACGAGCCGGUCCACCUGAUGGCGGCCAGUCGCUGCGGUUCAAAGCCAACACCGACUACGUGGACUUCUACUGGACCACACGGAGGCCUUCAAACCGGACCAACAAGUUCAGGGACUCCCCGACUCGUGAGUCUGAGGACGCCGCUGAGCCUCAGCCCAGCCGGCUGCCUGUCUGUGGAUGUUUGAGUG
Amphiprion ocellaris (clown anemonefish) is the source of this 612-nucleotide long non-coding RNA. Lineage: Eukaryota; Metazoa; Chordata; Actinopteri; Pomacentridae. The record is from Ensembl.